This is a non-coding RNA of Sorex araneus (European shrew), 149 nucleotides long. Lineage: Eukaryota; Metazoa; Chordata; Mammalia; Eulipotyphla; Soricidae. The record is from Rfam.
UAGCCCGCCAGUCUAGUAGGCAGCAUUCGCGCCUCCUGUGCCUUCUUUCUCCUUGUGGUCUUUCUUCUGAAACAAAGAAGAAAGAGUCAGAUCAGACCUGCCCUCUUGGAAAUGUGGUCCAGAUUGCUCUACUCCCAAGCUCCAAACAG